Molecule: ribosomal RNA, 253 nt
Filed under: uncultured bacterium
Lineage: Bacteria
Description: partial 16S ribosomal RNA
Rfam family: Bacterial small subunit ribosomal RNA
Source: RNAcentral
UACGUAGGGGGCUAGCGUUGUCCGGAAUCAUUGGGCGUAAAGCGCGUGUAGGCGGUUCGGUAAGUCCGCUGUGAAAGUCGGGGGCUCAACCCUCGAAUGCCGGUGGAUACUGUCGGACUAGAGUACGGAAGAGGCGAGUGGAAUUCCUGGUGUAGCGGUGAAAUGCGCAGAUAUCAGGAGGAACACCGAUGGCGAAGGCAGGUCUCUGGGCCAUAACUGACGCUGAGAAGCGAAAGCAUGGGGAGCGAACAGG